AUGAACGCUGGCGGCGUGCCUAAUACAUGCAAGUCGAGCGAACAGACGAGGAGCUUGCUCCUCUGACGUUAGCGGCGGACGGGUGAGUAACACGUGGAUAACCUACCUAUAAGACUGGGAUAACUUCGGGAAACCGGAGCUAAUACCGGAUAAUAUAUUGAACCGCAUGGUUCAAUAGUGAAAGACGGUUUUGCUGUCACUUAUAGAUGGAUCCGCGCCGCAUUAGCUAGUUGGUAAGGUAACGGCUUACCAAGGCAACGAUGCGUAGCCGACCUGAGAGGGUGAUCUGCCACACUGGAACUAGGACGCGGUCCAGUCUCCUAGGGGGGGCGGCGGUGGGCAAUCUUCCGCAAUGGGCGAAAGCCUGACGGAUCAACGCCGCGUGAGUGAUGAAGGUCUUCGGAUCGUAAAACUCCGUUAUUAGGGAAGAACGAAUGUGUGAGUAACUUUGCACGUCUUGACGUUACCUAAUCAGAUGGCCACGGCUAACUACGUG
RNAcentral lists this ribosomal RNA (496 nucleotides) under uncultured bacterium. Its description in RNAcentral is "partial 16S ribosomal RNA". It matches the Rfam family "Bacterial small subunit ribosomal RNA", at positions 29 to 507 of the family's 1533-position model. The record is from RNAcentral.